Molecule: ribosomal RNA, 497 nt
Filed under: uncultured bacterium
Lineage: Bacteria
Description: partial 16S ribosomal RNA
Rfam family: Bacterial small subunit ribosomal RNA
Source: RNAcentral
GAUGAACGCUGGCGGCGUGCCUAAUACAUGCAAGUCGAACGAACGGACGAUAAGCUUGCUUCUCUGCUGUUAGCGGCGGACGGGUGAGUAACACGUGCAUAACCUACCUCUAAGUCUGGGAUAACUUCGGGAGGCCGCAGCUAAUACCGCCUAAUAUUUUGAACCGCAUGGUUCAAAAGUGAUAGACGGUCUUGCUGUCACUUAUAGAUGGAUCCGCGUUGCAUUAGCUAGUUGGUAAGGUAACGGCUUACCAAGGCAACGAUGCAUAGCUGACCUGAGAGGGUGAUCGGCCACACUGGAACUGAGACACGGUCCAGACUCCUACGGGAGGCAGCAGUAGGGAAUCUUCGACAAUGGGCGAAAGCCUGAUGGAGCCACGCCGCGUGAGUGAUGAAGGCCUUCGGAUCGUAAAACUCUGUUAUUGGGGAAGAACAGAUGUGUAAGUAACUGUGCACAUCUUGACGGUACCUAAACAGAAAGCCACGGCUAACUACGUG